RNAcentral lists this ribosomal RNA (232 nucleotides) under uncultured bacterium. Its description in RNAcentral is "partial 16S ribosomal RNA". It matches the Rfam family "Bacterial small subunit ribosomal RNA", at positions 118 to 334 of the family's 1533-position model. The record is from RNAcentral.
CAAAACCUAGCCUUAAGGAUGGGGAUAGCAGACGGAAACGACUGCUAAUACCGAAUACGUUCUAAGCAUCGCAUGGUGCAUAGAAGAAAGGGUGGCCUCUACAAGAAAGCUAUCGCCUUAAGAGGGGUUUGCGACUGAUUAGGUAGUUGGUGAGGUAACGGCUCACCAAGCCGACGAUCAGUAGCCGGUCUGAGAGGAUGAACGGCCACACUGGAACUGAGACACGGUCCAG